GAUGAACGCUGGCGGCGUGCCUAAUACAUGCAAGUCGAGCGAACGGACGAGAAGCUUGCUUCUCUGAUGUUAGCGGCGGACGGGUGAGUAACACGUGGAUAACCUACCUAUAAGACUGGGAUAACUUCGGGAAACCGUAGCUAAUACCGGAUAAUAUUUUGAACCGCAUGGUUCAAAAGUGAAAGACGGUCUUGCUGUCACUUAUAGAUGGAUCCGCGCUGCAUUAGCUAGUUGGUAAGGUAACGGCUUACCAAGGCAACGAUGCAUAGCCGACCUGAGAGGGUGAUCGGCCACACUGGAACUGAGACACGGUCCAGACUCCUACGGGAGGCAGCAGUAGGGAAUCUUCCGCAAUGGGCGAAAGCCUGACGGAGCAACGCCGCGUGAGUGAUGAAGGUCUUCGGAUCGUAAAACUCUGUUAUUAGGGAAGAACAUAUGUGUAAGUAACUGUGCACAUCUUGACGGUACCUAAUCAGAAAGCCACGGCUAACUACGUGCCAGCAGCUGCGGUAAUACGUAGGUGGCAAGCGUUAUCCGGAAUUAUUGGGCGUAAAGCGCGCGUAGGCGGUUUUUUAAGUCUGAUGUGAAAGCCCACGGCUCAACCGUGGAGGGUCAUUGGAAACUGGAAAACUUGAGUGCAGAAGAGGAAAGUGGAAUUCCAUGUGUAGCGGUGAAAUGCGCAGAGAUAUGGAGGAACACCAGUGGCGAAGGCGACUUUCUGGUCUGUAACUGACGCUGAUGUGCGAAAGCGUGGGGAUCAAACAGGAUUAGAUACCCUGGUAGUCCACGCCGUAAACGAUGAGUGCUGAGUGUUAGGGGGUUUCCGCCCCUUAGUGCUGCAGCUAACGCAUUAAGCACUCCGCCUGGGGAGUACGACCGCAAGGUUGAAACUCAAAGGAAUUGACGGGGACCCGCACAAGCGGUGGAGCAUGUGGUUUAAUUCGAAGCAACGCGAAGAACCUUACCAAAUCUUGACAUCCUUUGACAACUCUAGAGAUAGAGCCUUCCCCUUCGGGGGACAAAGUGACAGGUGGUGCAUGGUUGUCGUCAGCUCGUGUCGUGAGAUGUUGGGUUAAGUCCCGCAACGAGCGCAACCCUUAAGCUUAGUUGCCAUCAUUAAGUUGGGCACUCUAAGUUGACUGCCGGUGACAAACCGGAGGAAGGUGGGGAUGACGUCAAAUCAUCAUGCCCCUUAUGAUUUGGGCUACACACGUGCUACAAUGGACAAUACAAAGGGCAGCGAAACCGCGAGGUCAAGCAAAUCCCAUAAAGUUGUUCUCAGUUCGGAUUGUAGUCUGCAACUCGACUACAUGAAGCUGGAGUCGCUAGUAAUCGUAGAUCAGCAUGCUACGGUGAAUACGUUCCCGGGUCU
Molecule: ribosomal RNA, 1372 nt
Filed under: uncultured bacterium
Lineage: Bacteria
Description: bacterial SSU rRNA
Rfam family: Bacterial small subunit ribosomal RNA
Source: RNAcentral